UACGAAGGGGGCUAGCGUUGUCCGGAAUCACUGGGCGUAAAGGGCGCGUAGGCGGCUUGAUAAGCGUGCGGUGAAAGCCCGGGGCUCAACCCCGGGUCGGCCGUGCGAACUGUCGAGCUGGAGCACUGUAGAGGCAGGUGGAAUUCCGGGUGUAGCGGUGGAAUGCGUAGAGAUCCGGAAGAACACCGGUGGCGAAGGCGGCCUGCUGGGCAGUGGCUGACGCUGAGGCGCGACAGCGUGGGGAGCAAACAGG
This 253-nucleotide ribosomal RNA is filed under the name uncultured bacterium. Its description in RNAcentral is "partial 16S ribosomal RNA". It matches the Rfam family "Bacterial small subunit ribosomal RNA", at positions 524 to 776 of the family's 1533-position model. The record is from RNAcentral.